RNAcentral lists this ribosomal RNA (821 nucleotides) under uncultured marine archaeon. RNAcentral's name for it is "bacterial SSU rRNA". It matches the Rfam family "Archaeal small subunit ribosomal RNA", at positions 47 to 873 of the family's 1478-position model. The record is from RNAcentral.
AGCCAUGCGAGUCAUUGUAGUAAUACAAGGCAGACGGCUCAGUAACGCGUAGUCAACCUAACCUAUGGACGGGGAUAAUCUCGGGAAACUGAGCAUAAUACCCGAUAGAACAUUAUGCCUGGAAUGGUUUAUGUUCCAAAUGAUUUAUCGCCGUAGGAUGGGACUGCGGCCUAUCAGUUUGUUGGUGAGGUAAUGGCCCACCAAGACUAUUACAGGUACGGGCUCUGAGAGGAGUAGCCCGGAGAUGGGUACUGAGACACGGACCCAGGCCCUAUGGGGCGCAGCAGGCGGGAAAACUUUGCAAUGUGCGAAAGCACGACAAGGUUAAUCCGAGUGGUUUCUGCUAAAGGAACCUUUUGACAGUCCUAGAAACACUGUUGAAUAAGGGGUGGGCAAGUUCUGGUGUCAGCCGCCGCGGUAAAACCGGCACCUCAAGUGGUCAGGAUGAUUAUUGGGCCUAAAGCAUCCGUAGCCGGCUCUGUAAGUUUUCGGUUAAAUCUGUACGCUCAACGUACAGGCUGCCGGGAAUACUGCAGAGCUAGGGAGUGGGAGAGGUAGACGGUACUCGGUAGGAAGGGGUAAAAUCCUUUGAUCUAUUGAUGACCACCUGUGGCGAAGGCGGUCUACCAGAACACGUCCGACGGUGAGGGAUGAAAGCUGGGGGAGCAAACCGGAUUAGAUACCCGGGUAGUCCCAGCUGUAAACCAUGCAAACUCAGUGAUGCAUUGGCUUGUGGCCAAUGCAGUGCUGCAGGGAAGCCGUUAAGUUUGCCGCCUGGGAAGUACGUACGCAAGUAUGAAACUUAAAAGGAAUUGGCGGGG